This 461-nucleotide ribosomal RNA is filed under the name uncultured eukaryote. Its description in RNAcentral is "SSU rRNA". It matches the Rfam family "Eukaryotic small subunit ribosomal RNA", at positions 81 to 526 of the family's 1831-position model. The record is from RNAcentral.
GUGAAACCGCAAAAGGCUCAGUAUAACAGCUGUAAUUUCUUAGAUCAUAUUCCCAGUACUUGGAUAACUGUGGAAAAUCUAGAGCUAAUACAUGCAUAUAAUACGAGUACCCGUCAAAAGGUUCUCGUGCAGUUAUUAGACAAACCAAUCAACCACUUCGGUGGAUGUUUUAUAUGGUGGAACUCUAGAUAACUUUGCUGAUCGUAUGGCCUAGUGCCGACGACAGAUCUUUCAAAUGUCUGCCCUAUCAACUUUGAUGGUAGUAUAGAGGACUACCAUGGUUGCUACGGGUAACGGGGAAUCAGGGUUCGAUUCCGGAGAGGGAGCCUGAGAAAUGGCUACUACUUCUAAGGAUCGGCAGCAGGCGCGUAAAUUACCCACUCCCGGCACGGGGAGGUAGUGACGAAAAAUAACAAUAUAGAACUAAUUAUUUAGUUCUGUAAUUGGAAUGAAUCGAGUAU